This 465-nucleotide ribosomal RNA is filed under the name uncultured bacterium. RNAcentral's name for it is "partial 16S ribosomal RNA". It matches the Rfam family "Bacterial small subunit ribosomal RNA", at positions 28 to 507 of the family's 1533-position model. The record is from RNAcentral.
GACGAACGCUGGCGGCGUGCUUAACACAUGCAAGUCGAACGGAAAGGCCCCUUUGUGGUUACUCGAGUGACUAACGGGUGAGUAACACACACGUAACCUACCCUUGACUUCGUUAUAACUUCAUUAAACUGGGUCUAAUACAGAAUAGGAAUCCUUUCUUCAUGGAGGGGGGUGGUAAGCUUCUGGGGUUUUGGGUGGACUCCCGGGUUAUUAACUUGUUGGUGGGGUAGUGGCUUACCAAGGGUUUGACGGGUAGCCAGCCGGAGGGGGCGAACGGCCAAAUUGGGACUGAGGUAAGGCCCAGAAUCCUAAGGGGGGCAAAAGUUGGGAAUAUUGCCAAAAGGGCGGAAGCCUGAUUCAGGAAAGCCGCGUGGGGGAUGAACGGCUUCGGGAUGGAAAACGCUUUCAGCAGGGGACAAGGUUGUGGUGACGGUAACUGGAGAAGAAGCACCGGCUAACUACGUG